GGAGGGUGCAAGCGUUAAUCGGAAUUACUGGCGUAAAGCGCACGCAGGCGGUUUGUUAAGUCAGAUGUGAAAUCCCCGGGCUCAACCUGGGAACUGCAUCUGAUACUGGCAAGCUUGAGUCUCGUAGAGGGGGGUAGAAUUCCAGGUGUAGCGGUGAAAUGCGUAGAGAUCUGGAGGAAUACCGGUGGCGAAGGCGGCCCCCUGGACGAAGACUGACGCUCAGGUGCGAAAGCGUGGGGAGCAAACAGGGAUUAGAUACCCUGGUAGUCCACGCCGUAAACGAUGUCGACUUGGAGGUUGUGCCCCUUGAGGCGUGGCUUCCGGAGCUAACGCGUUAAGUCGACCGCCUGGGGAGUACGGCCGCAAGGUUA
This 371-nucleotide ribosomal RNA is filed under the name uncultured organism. RNAcentral's name for it is "partial 16S ribosomal RNA". It matches the Rfam family "Bacterial small subunit ribosomal RNA", at positions 527 to 896 of the family's 1533-position model. The record is from RNAcentral.